CAGAUUUUAAGUUUUGGAUUUAUGGGGCUUUAUUCAUAAAAAAGGGGGGAUUUUCAACACUUCGGACAAUAACUCAAAAAGGCUUUCACCAAUGUCCAUGAAACUUUGGUGAAUUGUUUAUAUCUAUUGAUGUAAGCUUCCUUUCAAUUUUUAUAAAUUUCAGAUUUUAAGUUUUGGAUUUAUGGGGCUUUAUUCAUAAAAAAAAAGGGGGAUUUUCAACACUUCGGACAAUAACUCAAAAAGGCUUUCACCAAUGUCCAUGAAACUUUGGUGAAUUGUUUAUAUCUAUUGAUGUAAGCUCCCUUUCAAUUUUUAUAAAUUUCAGAUUUUAAGUUUUGGAUUAAUGGGGCUUUAUUCAUAAAAAAGGGGGAUUUUCAACACUUUGGACAAUAACUCAAAAAGGCUUUCACCAAUGUCCAUGAAACGUUGGUGAAUUGUUUAUAUCUAUUGAUGUAAGCUCCCUUUCAAUUUUUAUAAAUUUCAGAUUUUACAUUUCCGUGUUAUGAAUUUUUAUGCUUAAAAAAGGGGGGAUUUUCCAAUUUUGGGACAAUAACUAACACUUUCACAAAAUUUUAUGCAAC
This 581-nucleotide long non-coding RNA is filed under the name Mytilus galloprovincialis (Mediterranean mussel). The record is from RNAcentral. Lineage: Eukaryota; Metazoa; Mollusca; Bivalvia; Mytilida; Mytilidae.